UACGUAGGGUGCAAGCGUUGUCCGGAAUUAUUGGGCGUAAAGAGCUCGUAGGCGGUUUGUCGCGUCUGCUGUGAAAACUCGGGGCUUAACCCCGGGCCUGCAGUGGGUACGGGCAGACUAGGGUGCGGUAGGGGAGACUGGAAUUCCUGGUGUAGCGGUGAAAUGCGCAGAUAUCUGGAGGAAUACCGGUGGCGAAGGCGGCAUCCUGGACCGAGAUUGACGCUGAACGGCGAAAGCUAGGGGAGCAAACGGG
RNAcentral lists this ribosomal RNA (253 nucleotides) under uncultured bacterium. Its description in RNAcentral is "partial 16S ribosomal RNA". It matches the Rfam family "Bacterial small subunit ribosomal RNA", at positions 524 to 776 of the family's 1533-position model. The record is from RNAcentral.